UGGACCAGUGAGCCGCCUUCGCCACUGGUGUUCCUCCGAAUAUCUACGAAUUUCACCUCUACACUCGGAAUUCCACUCACCUCUUCCAUACUCUAGACACCCAGUAUCAAAGGCAGUUCCGGGGUUGAGCCCCGGGAUUUCACCCCUGACUUAAAUGUCCGCCUACGUGCGCUUUACGCCCAGUAAUUCCGAACAACGCUAGCCCCCUUCGUAUUACCGCGGCUGCUGGCACGAAGUUAGCCGGGGCUUCUUCUCCGGUUACCGUCAUUAUCUUCACCGGUGAAAGAGCUUUACAACCCUAGGGCCUUCAUCACUCACGCGGCAUGGCUGGAUCAGGCUUGCGCCCAUUGUCCAAUAUUCCCCACUGCUGCCUCCCGUAGGAGUUUGGGCCGUGUCUCAGUCCCAAUGUGGCUGAUCAUCCUCUCAGACCAGCUAUGGAUCGUCGCCUUGGUAGGCCUUUACCCCACCAACUAGCUAAUCCAACGCGGGCUCAUCCUUUCCCGAUAAAUCUUUCCCCCGAAGGGCUUAUACGGUAUUAGCACAAGUUUCCCUGCGUUAUUCCGUAGAAAAGGGUAGAUUCCCACGCGUUACUCACCCGUCUGCCGCUCCCCUUGCGGGGCGCUCGACUUGCAUGUGUUAAGCCUGCCGCCAGCGUUCGU
RNAcentral lists this ribosomal RNA (659 nucleotides) under Ensifer adhaerens. Its description in RNAcentral is "partial 16S rRNA". Lineage: Bacteria; Pseudomonadati; Pseudomonadota; Alphaproteobacteria; Hyphomicrobiales; Rhizobiaceae. The record is from RNAcentral.